AUGCGUGCUAAGAAAGAUGCCUUUAUAAGAGCGUGUUCUUCUAGUUCCUAUGAGAAUAAAGAUGAAGAUAUAAAAGUUAUUGAUGUGUCCCCUAUUAUAUCUUUGUUUUGCAAUAUGAAUCUUGAUAAUGAUGGGAUGGAAUAUCAUCCACCUUUACCUAGAAGGCGUUCCAAGAAUUUGGAAUUAGUUGAUCUUGAUGCUAAAUUUGAUAAAAGUGGGAUUGAAGAAAUUAAAACCCUAGAUGUCGCUAAACCCACUAUUCUGGAUUUCAAGGAAUUUAACUAUGAAAAUCGAUAUUUGAUUGAUUGUAUUUCCUUGUUAAAAUCCAUGCUAAAUUCUCCUCAUGCUUAUAGUCAAAAUAAAGCGUUUACUAAACAUAUCGUUGAUGCCUUGAUGCAAUCUUAUGAAGAA
Molecule: ribosomal RNA, 411 nt
Filed under: Triticum aestivum (bread wheat)
Lineage: Eukaryota; Viridiplantae; Streptophyta; Magnoliopsida; Poales; Poaceae
Description: partial small subunit ribosomal RNA
Source: RNAcentral